AUUGAACGCUGGCGGAAUGCUUUACACAUGCAAGUCGAACGGCAGCACGGACUUCGGUCUGGUGGCGAGUGGCGAACGGGUGAGUAAUGUAUCGGAACGUGCCCAGUCGUGGGGGAUAACGUAGUGAAAAUUACGCUAAUACCGCAUACGAUCUAUGGAUGAAAGCGGGGGAUCGCAAGACCUCGCGCGAUUGGAGCGGCCGAUAUCAGAUUAGGUAGUCGGUGGGGUAAAGGCCCACCAAGCCAACGAUCUGUAGCUGGUCUGAGAGGACGACCAGCCACACGGGAACGGAGGCACGGUCCAGACGCCUACGGGAGGCAGCAGUGGGGAAUUUUGGACAAUGGGCGAAAGCCUGAUCCAGCCAUUCCGCGUGCAGGAUGAAGGCCCUCGGGUUGUAAACUGCUUUUGUACAGAACGAAAAGGUUUCUACUAAUACUAGGAGCUCAUGACGGUACUGUAAGAAUAAGCACCGGCUAACUACGUGCCAGCCGCCGCCGUAA
RNAcentral lists this ribosomal RNA (500 nucleotides) under uncultured bacterium. Its description in RNAcentral is "partial 16S ribosomal RNA". It matches the Rfam family "Bacterial small subunit ribosomal RNA", at positions 30 to 523 of the family's 1533-position model. The record is from RNAcentral.